UUCAACAAAGUCAAUGUAAUUGAUUAAAACCCCAAAACCAAACAAAGACACAAAUAGAGAUCAAAUCCAAACUAAAUAACAAAUAAAUUCGAAAAUAAAUUGGAAAACCUACCUAGAUAAGUUGAAAAUCAAACAAAAAAACUCAAAUAAUUUUAGACAUUGACCCCUUGUUUCAGUUCCAAACCAAACCCAAACUUAUUGCCUUCUUCUCGUCCUCCUCACCUUCUCCGACCAAACUACCUUCGUUCUCACCAUUUCCGACAAGCUUCAACCAACAACUAUAAAUGAGAACCAACAACAANN
This 303-nucleotide long non-coding RNA is filed under the name Solanum tuberosum (potato). Its description in RNAcentral is "long non-coding RNA (STUB_LNC005479)". The record is from RNAcentral. Lineage: Eukaryota; Viridiplantae; Streptophyta; Magnoliopsida; Solanales; Solanaceae.